This 2337-nucleotide non-coding RNA is filed under the name Pongo abelii (Sumatran orangutan). Lineage: Eukaryota; Metazoa; Chordata; Mammalia; Primates; Hominidae. The record is from RNAcentral.
ACUGACUGGCCCCCAAGCCCGGGGCGUCUGAGAAACCUCCUGCGAACGGCUACAGAGGAAAUUUUCAUGUGUGAGAGAUCUGCAGAAAGUUCUGGAACCCGCACCUGGACCAGUUUGGACCCUCAGUGGAAACACGUCAAAGAGAAGGAAAACCAGCUGGGGAAGGGAUCCCGGCCAGCAGCAGCUCAGAGUGCUGGGCGGAGGCCCCGUUUUUCACCGACCGACGGCUGGGAGAGCCGUGCCACCCACUGUGCCCUGAGACGCGCACAGGACGGCGACUCACAGAUGCCUUUUGCUGCCCUGCCUGGGUCCUGCCACAGCGCGAGGUGCAUCAGGCCAGGCAGCCACGCAAAGGCCCCCGCUCCUGGCUUCUGCCAUUUUUCUGUCCUGCAACUCUACCCUGGAGCCUCCCACCCCUUCAAAAGCUGCAGGAAGAGGCCUGCAGGCAAGAGAAGAGGACUGCAGGAGUGAGCAAUUUAAGAAACGGAAGGUCGAGGUUUUCCAAUCUAAUUAACAGCAUGACAAGCCAGGAUGGGCUGCUGACCCGCAUGGAGCCUUGCACAGCCAGAAACGCGGUGUCCUGCUCCGCUCCUGAGACGCCAGGGCCGUCACUGCAACACAGCCCCAACACUUCCACACGGGCGGACUCUGGCUCUCCAGGCACUGCAGCGCCCUCUCCUCCCCUUCCCAGCUCUCCUGAGGCCUGUGGUUCUGGAUCUCUGCUCCGUGCAAGCAUGCCUGUGGCCCCCUCCCGUGUCCAGUCGCACCAGGCCCUGGGAUCCCGGAUCUGGCUUCCCCUUUGCAAGUGGUUCAAAGCAAGCACCUGUGGGGGUGGGGGCAGCAAAGCCGUCUGGCCAAGGUCCCUUCCUCUAGAGUGCCUGUCUGUCCGUCUGUCCUUGAGGAGCCUGAGGAGUGCAGGGCAGGACAGGCAGGCACCAGCUGACCCGGUACUGGGCAGGGACCAGUGCAGGACCUUGAGGCAGGGCUUGGUGGGGUGGGGGUGGCCAGAGUCUCCUGGCUCGGAGCAGAUGCGGGUGAGUGGCACAGACUGUCCUCACACCCUCCUGGGACAAAGGCAGGAAUCCAUGACCAGGACAGACACACUCAGGAUGGGAGAGGCAGAGCAGGUGCCUGAGCUUGGCCACGCACAGCUUCCAACGAGGCUGGGCCGUCCACAGCUCCCCAAGGUUACCCGCCACUGUUCACCCCACCCCAGCACAGCCGAGAGCCGUGGUUUCUCCUCCCAUGGAGUCCCACGUGGGCUGCCCACUCCAGGCCCAGCCCGAGGGCACCGCCUUCUCCAGGCUGCCUUCCCCGCACACGCCACACCUCCAGCCCCAGAAGGUUCUGAGGAGGGGAGGAGCUGGGGCCCCCACUCGCCCUCCUGUUGCCAGGAUACAGGCCCAGGAAAAAAUGCCACAGUGCUGGAUUAAUGUCUAGACAACGUGACCUUUCCCCUGGUUCUCUAGAUAUAAUUGGGACCCAAAUUGUCCGGUGUCAUGAGCUGACAGCAGGGAUGAAGGAGGGGUCUGUUCUCGGUGCCCGAGGGGACUCCGGGAGAGGGAGAGGGCAGCCCACUACCUGUGUGGGGGCUGCAUGGGGACGAGCCAGGGUCGCCCACAAAGGCGCUUUCUGUGGAGGGGACGUCACCUCUUCCAUCAGCGAUGACACAGCUCUGAGAUCACAGUGUCCUCACAAUGGCUCCUGUUAACUCCCUGCUGCCCGUCCUGCCAGGCUGGUGCCAUGAGACCCUCGGGGCUGGGCCAUGGGACAGGUGCCUGCCCAGCCCUGCAAACACAUCCAGCAGGUGUUGAGGGCUGCCAAGCACAGACUCCUACUGCCAGCCAUGCACAGCGCCAGCUGCGACAGCAACGCCUCUGCCGGGAGACGCGGAGGAGACCGGCCCCGACGCCUCCUGUCCCGGGGGGCUGCUGCACACUCAGGCAGGAUGCAGGGGUCCUGAGGGGGACCCUCAGCCACCUACGGCUCCCGUGGCCAGUCUGGUCCUGGUAUUUAUCUCAACUUCAUUGUUGUCCAGAAGCUGCUUUUUAUUAUUUGUGACCAUAAAAGGAUGUAAAUAAAUUCCUGUUUUGAGUCCAAACUACCUGGGUCCACCAGGCCACAGAGCAGGGACACGGCCUCAAUGUGGAGUCAAUAAGCCAAGGUUGUGAGAAGAUUCUCAGGAGUGGGGUCCAGGAAGGGAGAACUGAGGGCUGGGGUUUCAGGGGGCAUUUUACUUUUCAUUCCAGGCAGCGCUGUAUUGGCUGGGGUCUCAAAUGCUGAAUAAUGCUCCUGUUGGACUUCAGUAAUUUAAAAAAAUAAAACUGUUUAAAAAUC